AAAAGGCCUGCCGCUUCGCCUUGCGCCACACACGUUCGCGUCGCCGCAGUUACUCCUCCGCGAAAUAAUGGCGGCGACACACGGCGCUCUCCUCACCUCCGGCGAUGCCUAUAGGCGACGGCAAUGGCGCCCUGUUGUGCCUGUCUGUGCUCCCCCGCACUACGGACGACACUCCUCCUCCUCGGCCUGCUCGCCUCUUCCCCCUGCCGUCUCCUCUCCUCCAUCGCUCGCGCCGCGCCGCGCUCGUGGAGCGGAGUCGCGGAAGUAUCCGGAGACACCGCGCGGCACGCGCCGAAUCCGGCCGUGGCCCGAUUGGCCGAGCAUUGAAGCGCGGACUGCAUCAUCCAAACACCACUACCUGUCGUUGCCAACGACAACCAGCGAUCCUACAGUUAACCUCGGUGGAUGUCCUUGAAUUUGCAUUCCCUGGUAACCUCUGUGAAACUUUGUGCUCUGUUGGCUGUUGCACUUGAAAAUGGGUGCGGCGUCUUCUACGAUUGAAGACGACAAGGUCCUUGUGUUAUGCCAGGAGAGGAAGCGUUUUGUUAGAGAGGCACUUGAUGGAAGAUGUGCGCUUGCAUGUGCUCACCAUGAUUAUACUGUGUCACUUAGAGACACGGGAUCUUUUCUGAGAAAAUGUUUUGAAGGAGAGAAGUCUCUUGCAGCUGCAAAUGAGGAGGGUCAUGUUGCAGAUUCAGAAGAUGGUUUCGACAAUUCGUCCACUGAAACUUUGGGACAGGUGUACUCUAACACCAGAUAGUGUAGCUUCAGAAAAUAUUGCUUCAGCAGACAGGCUCAAAGGCAAGAGGAGAAUAAUAGGUGUUAUCACAAUUGAAAAUGAUGAAAUUCCUCCCAUCCCCCUAGUUAAUGUGGUCCCAUCAUCUGUGGCUGCUCGCACUAUGGACUCCCAGAAACCUUAUCCUGAAGUAAAGAAUGUGGUGAAGGACUUAUCUUCAUGCAUGAAAGAGGUUGAGAUAUUAUUCUUUAGGGCAUGUGAUUCUGGGAAACAAGUUCCAAUGAUUCUGGAAGAAGAUAAAAUCCAGUUCCGCCCUCUACUACCUGAAGAAAUAGCACAAGGAUCAAAGGUAUCAAAUUUUCUUGCGACCUUGUUUGCUGCAGGGAGGAAGUUUCUGUUCCUAAACCCCCUCCUCAAGCUGAGCUAAAGUACCUUACCUGGCAUAGAUCAGUGUCUUCACAACUGUCGCCAUCCACGAAUCCUCUUGGGACUAUGCUUGACAUCCAUACAUCAACGCCAGAUAGAUUGUAUGCAUGGGAAACAAAGCUUUAUGAUGAAGUUAAGGCCAGCAGCUCCAUCUGCAGGAAGUAUGAUGAGAAAUGUAAGCAACUGAGAGACCAGGAGUCGCGAGGGAAAAAACAAAUCAUCACCGAUUUUACCCGUGCUGCAGUAAAAGACUUGCAUUCCAGAAUCCAAGUGGCUAUUCAGAAAAUAGAUCUCAUUUCGAUGAACACAGAAAAUCUAAGGGAUAAAGAGCUUCAACCACAGCUGGAUGAGCUAAUUGAGAGUUUCACCAUGAUGUGGACAACCAUGCAUCAGUGCCAUCGAUUUCAGCACUCGAUCAUCAAAUCACUAUCCAGCAGCUGCAAACUAGAAACACCGCUCGACUCUGAGCCUUGACGCCAAGCCGACCUCCUUGUGUCGAUCGAACUCGGCAAACUACGUUCAGACCUCCGAAACUGGAUCGCAUCCCACAGGGCCUACCUGGGCAGCCUCAACCUGUGGCUGCACAAGUGCAUGAAGCCUCUGAGGAAGAGGAAGAGCUCCAGGAAGCAAAACGCCGCCGCCGCCGUCGACGUCUCUGACGGAGUGCGCCGUCGCUUCCAUGUUCGCCAUGUGCGAGACCUGGAUGAAGCUGCUGGACGAUCUGCCGACCGGGGACCUGGAAGAGGCCAUCGAGGGUCUCGUUGCAGAUGUAAGCAGUAAGCUGCCACCUGCCACGAAUGCGGAGCAACGCCUCGACGAGUCGAUAACAAAUGGUGGAACGGAGGAAGAGGUUCCUAGAAACGAUGCCGCUGCCGAUUUACGAUCGAGCCUCGUGGUGUUCGUGGAGAAGCUUCAGUCUUUCUCGGAGAUAUCAGGUGCAGAAAUACCUAGAUCUGCAGAAAGGCGUCGGUGCGGCCAAAGACAGGCUUCUGAAACAUGAAACAGGCUUGAGAUACUGACUGCAGGUGUAUAGUAUCUCGGCCGGGUGAAACACGGCGACUUCAUCAUUGCAAGUUUCCAAGUAAAAGUAAAUAAAAUGGUCGCUCCUCGUGUAAAAUCUGAACCUUGCUCGGUGUGAGCAAAAUCUGUAAAAUGUGACCUUGCUAGCUGUGACCAUAAUCUGUAAAAUGACUAUUCUGUCGAGCGGAGACAGCGAAAUAAGAACUUUCGAAGGCGACAUGGUUUUAAAA
Aegilops tauschii subsp. strangulata is the source of this 2412-nucleotide RNA transcript. It is a transcript of the gene named protein ALTERED PHOSPHATE STARVATION RESPONSE 1, with no coding region annotated. Lineage: Eukaryota; Viridiplantae; Streptophyta; Magnoliopsida; Poales; Poaceae. The record is from RefSeq and is a predicted model, not a curated record.